ACCGCAGACCGCCUUAUCGUCGUUCAUUUUAUAUGAAGGGAGGAAAGUCCGGACACCAUAGGGAAGCAUAGCGGAUAACAUCCGUCGUUCCGAGUAAUCGGGAAAGGACAAGUGCAACAGAAAGCAGGUACAGGUCAAGCUGUAGUGAAACCAGGUAAACUCUAUGCGGUGAAAUUUCAAGUAUAUCAGCAGUUAAGGGCUUCUCGUCCGUUGUUGAAGGGUAGAAAGAUGGAUUCCGUGAGCAAUUGCGGAACUAGAUAAAUGAUAAGGGUUUCGAGCAAUCGAGAUACAGAAUCCGGCUUACAGGUCUGCUUUUUUU
RNAcentral lists this RNase P RNA (319 nucleotides) under Flavobacterium sp. RNAcentral describes it as "RNase P RNA component class A". It matches the Rfam family "Bacterial RNase P class A". Rfam says of the family: Ribonuclease P (RNase P) is a ubiquitous endoribonuclease, found in archaea, bacteria and eukarya as well as chloroplasts and mitochondria. Its best characterised activity is the generation of mature 5'-ends of tRNAs by cleaving the 5'-leader elements of precursor-tRNAs. The record is from RNAcentral. Lineage: Bacteria; Pseudomonadati; Bacteroidota; Flavobacteriia; Flavobacteriales; Flavobacteriaceae.